RNAcentral lists this ribosomal RNA (253 nucleotides) under uncultured bacterium. RNAcentral's name for it is "partial 16S ribosomal RNA". It matches the Rfam family "Bacterial small subunit ribosomal RNA", at positions 524 to 776 of the family's 1533-position model. The record is from RNAcentral.
UACAGAGGGUGCGAGCGUUAAUCGGAAUUACUGGGCGUAAAGGGCGCGUAGGCGGUUGAUUAAGUUGGAUGUGAAAUCCCUGGGCUUAACCUAGGAACUGCAUCUGAUACUGGUCAGCUGGAGUGCGGUAGAGGGUAGUGGAAUUUCCGGUGUAGCGGUGAAAUGCGUAGAUAUCGGAAGGAACACCAGUGGCGAAGGCGGCUACCUGGACUGACACUGACGCUGAGGCGCGAAAGCGUGGGGAGCAAACAGG